Molecule: ribosomal RNA, 497 nt
Filed under: uncultured bacterium
Lineage: Bacteria
Description: partial 16S ribosomal RNA
Rfam family: Bacterial small subunit ribosomal RNA
Source: RNAcentral
GAUGAACGCUGGCGGCGUGCCUAAUACAUGCAAGUCGAGCGAACGGACGAGAAGCUUGCUUCUCUGAUGUUAGCGGCGGACGGGUGAGUAACACGUGGAUAACCUACCUAUAAUACUGGGAUAACUUCGGGAAACCGGAGCUAAUCCCGGAUAAUAUUUUGAACCGCAUGGUUCAAAAGAGAAAGACGGUCUUGCUGUCACUUAUAGAUGGAUCCGCGCUGCAUUAGCUAGUUGGUAAGGUAACGGCUUACCAAGGCAACUAUGCAUAUCCGACCUGAGAGGGGGAUCGGCCACCCGGGAGCGGAGACGCGGACAAGACUCCUGCGGGAGGCAGCAGUAGGCAAUCUGCGGCAGUGGGCGAAAGCCUGACGCAGCAACGCCGCGUGAGUGAUGGAGGUCUUCGGAUCGUAAAACUCUGUUAUUAGGGAAGAACAGAUGUGUAAGUAACUGAGCACAUCUUGACGGUACCUAGUCAGAAAGCCACGGCUAACUACGUG